Molecule: ribosomal RNA, 739 nt
Filed under: uncultured Chloroflexota bacterium
Lineage: Bacteria; Bacillati; Chloroflexota
Description: bacterial SSU rRNA
Rfam family: Bacterial small subunit ribosomal RNA
Source: RNAcentral
GCGCGGAAAGUUGGGUGUGAAAUCCCUCGGCUCAACCGAGGAACUGCGCCCAAAACUACCGUGCUCGAGGGAGACAGAGGUGAGCGGAACUUAGGGUGGAGCGGUGAAAUGCGUUGAUAUCCUAAGGAACACCCGUGGCGAAAGCGGCUCACUGGGUCUCUUCUGACGCUGAGGGCACGAAAGCUAGGGUAGCGAACGGGAUUAGAGACCCCGGUAGUCCUAGCUGUAAACGAUGUGAACUUGGCGUCGGUGGGUUCAAAUCCAUCGGUGCCGAAGCUAACGCGAUAAGUUCACCGCCUGGGGACUACGGCCGCAAGGUUAAAACUCAAAGGAAUUGACGGGGCCCCGCACAAGCAGCGGAGCGUGUGGUUUAAUUCGAUGCUACACGAAGAACCUUACCAGGGUUUGACAUGCAAGUGGUAGGAAACCGAAAGGUGACCGACCCUUCGGGGAGCUUGCACAGGUGCUGCAUGGCUGUCGUCAGCUCGUGUCGUGAGAUGUUCGGUUAAGUCCGCUAACGAGCGCAACCCUCGCUGUGUGUUACAAGUGUCACACGGUGCUGCCGGUCUUAAGCCGGAGGAAGGUGGGGAUGACGUCAAGUCAGCAUGGCCUUUAUGUCCUGGGCUACACACACGCUACAAUGGCCAACACAAUAGGUUGCUAAGCCGCGAGGUGGAGCCAAUCCUCAAAGUUGGCCUCAGUUCAGAUUGUAGGCUGCAACCCGCCUGCAUGAAGAUGG